CCUACGGGUGGCAGCAGUGGGGAAUAUUGGACAAUGGGCGAAAGCCUGAUCCAGCCAUGCCGCGUGUGUGAAGAAGGCCUUCGGGUUGUAAAGCACUUUCAGUGGGGAAGAAAGCCUUGGGGCUAAUACCCUCGAGGAAGGACAUCACCCACAGAAGAAGCACCGGCUAACUCCGUGCCAGCAGCCGCGGUAAUACGGAGGGUGCGAGCGUUAAUCGGAAUUACUGGGCGUAAAGCGCGCGUAGGCGGUCUGAUAAGCCGGUUGUGAAAGCCCCGGGCUCAACCUGGGAACGGCAUCCGGAACUGUCAGGCUAGAGUGCAGGAGAGGAAGGUAGAAUCCCCGGUGUAGCGGUGAAAUGCGUAGAGAUCGGGAGGAAUACCAGUGGCGAAGGCGGCCUUCUGGACUGACACUGACGCUGAGGUGCGAAAGCGUGGGUAGCAAACAGGAUUAGAUACCCCGGUAUC
This 464-nucleotide ribosomal RNA is filed under the name Vreelandella stevensii. RNAcentral describes it as "partial 16S ribosomal RNA". It matches the Rfam family "Bacterial small subunit ribosomal RNA", at positions 338 to 794 of the family's 1533-position model. The record is from RNAcentral. Lineage: Bacteria; Pseudomonadati; Pseudomonadota; Gammaproteobacteria; Oceanospirillales; Halomonadaceae.